CGCCUGUUUAUUAAAAACAUGGUUUUUAAUUUAUAAUUUAUUAAAAAUUAAACCUGCCCAUUGAUUUUUUUAAAUGGCCGCAGUAUUUUGACUGUGCUAAGGUAGCAUAAUAAUUAGAUUUAUAAUUGAAAUCUAGAAUGAAUGGUCUAAUGAAAUAAAUUCUUUUUUAAUUUUAUUAAAUGAAUUUUUUUUUUUAGUUAAAAAACUGAAAUAAUUUUAUGGGACGAGAAGACCCUAUAGAAUUUUAUAUUAAUUAAAUUUAGUAUUAAUUUAUAAAUUAUUUAUAAAAUUUAUUAAAUAUUUUAUUGGGGUGAUAAUUAAAUUUAAUUAACUUUAAAUUAAAAUUUCAUUGAUUUUUGUUUAUUUGAUCUUUUUAUAUUGAUUAAAAAUUUAAAUUACCUUAGGGAUAACAGCAUAAUUUUAUUAAGAAGUUCUUAUUUUUAAUAUUGUUUAUGACCUCGAUGUUNAAUUAAAU
This 475-nucleotide ribosomal RNA is filed under the name Lasioptera rubi. RNAcentral describes it as "partial large subunit ribosomal RNA". The stretch from base 1 to 153 matches the Rfam family "Archaeal large subunit ribosomal RNA", at positions 1889 to 2084 of the family's 2987-position model. Lineage: Eukaryota; Metazoa; Arthropoda; Insecta; Diptera; Cecidomyiidae. The record is from RNAcentral.